Molecule: long non-coding RNA, 1155 nt
Filed under: Homo sapiens (human)
Lineage: Eukaryota; Metazoa; Chordata; Mammalia; Primates; Hominidae
Source: RNAcentral
GUCUGUAUUUCCGCCGGCGCGAAACGAGCGUAGCUUCCUUGUCGUGUGGCCUCAGUCCUUCGCCGUCCCUCGCCGUCCUUCGCCAUCGCACGCCACCGCACCCCAUCUCUCGAAAUCUGCAGACAUCUUGAUUUUUCCCACGCUGUCUGUCAGGUCUCCGCCGCCACUCGACGCCAGGGCGCCGGGUGAGUCCACAGCAGGGCGCAUGGUCGGCUCCACUCUCACCAUCGGGGGAAACUGAGGCCCCGGGGAAGGCGGCCAGAGAGGUCAGGCCCUGUCCUUGGUGCAGUGUCUCGUCCUCUUUGCCGGAGUGAGCCCCCCAGGAUUCGCGUGUCCUCGGGAAAGACACUGGCAGGCCUUGUGGGCUGUGCUGCACCUCGGACGGCUUCGCACCAGCCAGCGCCCUCUCUCUCCUGCAGCACUCUGAUCUGCACCCCCUGAGGGGCUUCCACUGUCCGCGGGGUGAGAAUGCCCCUGGGAGUGUCACAUGACUGCCGCCCCAUGUGUGUGAGAGGCGUCCUCUGGGAGAGCAUGGAUCCUGAGGUCCCAGGAUUGUCAGCUGACCUCUGUCCUGUGUGCCCAGUGGCCCCAGGUGACGUGUCUUCAAGAAGAGGCUGAGCUGCGGUGCUUGUAAGGGUCUCAUUCUGUCACCCAGGCUGGAGUGCAGUGGUGCAAUGAUGGCUCACUGCAGCCUCGACCUGGGCUCAAGUGAUCCUCCACCUCAGCUUCCUGAGUAGCUGGGACCACAGGUCUCAGCCUUAGAUCCAAGGACAGUCCAAGGAAGUCCUAAGACCAUGGAGUUGGUGAUCUGGGAUCUGGGUUUGCUGAUAUUUCUCACCGUGAAUCUCUUGGUGGUGUUUGUGGGCACGAGAGGGGCAGAGAAUGGAGAGUGAGGCUACCACAUGAAGCGUCACCAGAGCUGCUCCCUGCUGCCUGCUCAGAGCACCCCGGAUCCACUGUUCAAUCUGCACAAGAUUCGGGGUCCAGACAUGGGAGACUUCAGCUGCCUCAGAGGACCGUGGACAGGGAAGGCCAGCCUCGCAUCCCUCUGUCCAUGCCUGGAAUGACUUUAAUAACCAAGAGUUUUAUUUUUGAAUUUGUAGCUGUCGUUCACUUUUUACCCACCCAUUCAAUAAACCUUACAGAAUUGCUCCA